GACGAACGUUGGCGGCGCGCUUAAUGCAUGCAAGUCGAACGAGAACCGUUCGGUUCGUAAGAACCGGACGGGGACAGUGGCGAACGGGUGCGUAACACGUGAGAAACCUGCCCCGAAGACCGGGAUAGCCCGGGGAAACCCCGGAUUAAUACCGGAUACCCUCGUGGGGUCGCAUGACCCCGCUAGGAAACGGUCCGCCGCUUCGGGAUGGUCUCGCGGCCUAUCAGCUUGUUGGCGAGGUAACGGCUCACCAAGGCAGCGACGGGUAGCUGGUCUGAGAGGACGAUCAGCCACACUGGGACUGAGACACGGCCCAGACUCCUACGGGAGGCAGCAGCAGGGAAUAUUGCACAAUGGGCGCAAGCCUGAUGCAGCGACGCCGCGUGCGGGAUGAAUGCCUUCGGGUUGUAAACCGCUUUCAGGAGGGACGAAAAUGACGGUACCUCCAGAAGAAGCCCCGGCCAACUACGUG
RNAcentral lists this ribosomal RNA (472 nucleotides) under uncultured bacterium. Its description in RNAcentral is "bacterial SSU rRNA". It matches the Rfam family "Bacterial small subunit ribosomal RNA", at positions 28 to 507 of the family's 1533-position model. The record is from RNAcentral.